This 366-nucleotide long non-coding RNA is filed under the name Nicotiana tabacum (common tobacco). Its description in RNAcentral is "long non-coding RNA (NTAB_LNC006847)". The record is from RNAcentral. Lineage: Eukaryota; Viridiplantae; Streptophyta; Magnoliopsida; Solanales; Solanaceae.
UGGGUCGGGUCAAAAUAAGUUAGACCCACGUACCCCCAAAUCUUAAAUCCCAAAUGCUAAAAGCGUAAAACCUAAUUUCCAAACUCAGAAGUCAAAAACUUUCAAUCUCUCAUGCGAUUCUUCUUCCUCUUUGAACUGUUGCGAAUCUGCGAUUCUUCUUCCUCAAACCUUCUUCGAUUCUUCUUCCUCCAGUAAAUCCAGGUAAAUAUCUAAUAAGUACACAGUUCUCUUUUUUCUCUAAUAAUUUUCAUUCAUUUUGUCACGACCACUGGUCUUUUCCGGCCUAGUAAUGGUGUUUCACUGAUCAACAGACCUUUUUUGGAGAAGAAUUACCUUAGACCAGGUCUACCGGUCUUUAUUUGUCAG